Molecule: ribosomal RNA, 454 nt
Filed under: uncultured Proteiniphilum sp.
Lineage: Bacteria; Pseudomonadati; Bacteroidota; Bacteroidia; Bacteroidales; Dysgonomonadaceae
Description: bacterial SSU rRNA
Rfam family: Bacterial small subunit ribosomal RNA
Source: RNAcentral
CGGAGGAACAUGUGGUUUAAUUCGAUGAUACGCGAGGAACCUUACCCGGGCUUGAAAUGCAUCUGACCGGCCUUGAAAGAGGUUUUUCCCUUUCGGGGCAGAUGUGUAGGUGCUGCAUGGUUGUCGUCAGCUCGUGCCGUGAGGUGUCGGCUUAAGUGCCAUAACGAGCGCAACCCUCAUCAUUAGUUACCAUCAGGUAAGGCUGGGGACUCUAAUGAGACUGCCAUCGUAAGAUGUGAGGAAGGUGGGGAUGACGUCAAAUCAGCACGGCCCUUACGUCCGGGGCGACACACGUGUUACAAUGGGUGGUACAAAGGGCAGCUACCUGGCGACAGGAUGCUAAUCUCCAAAACCACUCUCAGUUCGGAUCGGAGUCUGCAACUCGACUCCGUGAAGCUGGAUUCGCUAGUAAUCGCGCAUCAGCCACGGCGCGGUGAAUACGUUCCCGGGCCUU